GUGCCUAAUACAUGCAAGUCAAGCGAACGGACGAGAGUGCUUGCACUCUCUGAUGUUAGCGGCGGACGGGUGAGUAACACGUGGGUAACCUACCUAUAAGACUGGGAUAACUUCGGGAAACCGGAGCUAAUACCGGAUAAUAUUUAACUUCGCAUGAAGCAAUAGUGAAAGACGGUUCUGCUGUCACUUAUAGAUGGACCCGCGGUGUAUUAGCUAGUUGGUGAGGUAACGGCUCACCAAGGCAACGAUACAUAGCCGACCUGAGAGGGUGAUCGGCCACACUGGGACUGAGACACGGCCCAGACUCCUACGGGAGGCAGCAGUAGGGAAUCUUCCGCAAUGGACGAAAGUCUGACGGAGCAACGCCGCGUGAGUGAAGAAGGUUUUCGGAUCGUAAAACUCUGUUGUAAGGGAAGAACAAGUACAUUAGUAACUGAACGUACCUUGACGGUACCUUACCAGAAAGCCACGGCUAACUACGUGCCAGCAGCCGCGGUAAUACGUAGGUGGCAAGCGUUAUCCGGAAUUAUUGGGCGUAAAGCGCGCGUAGGCGGUCUCUUAAGUCUGAUGUGAAAGCCCCCGGCUCAACCGGGGAGGGUCAUUGGAAACUGGGAGACUUGAGUGCAGAAGAGGAGAGUGGAAUUCCAUGUGUAGCGGUGAAAUGCGCAGAGAUAUGGAGGAACACCAGUGGCGAAGGCGGCUCUCUGGUCUGUAACUGACGCUGAGGUGCGAAAGCGUGGGGAUCAAACAGGAUUAGAUACCCUGGUAGUCCACGCCGUAACGAUGAGUGCUAAGUGUUGGGGGGUUUCCGCCCCUCAGUGCUGCAGCUAAACGCAUUAAAGCACUCCGCCUGGGGAGUACGGUCGCAAGACUGAAACUC
Molecule: ribosomal RNA, 880 nt
Filed under: uncultured Macrococcus sp.
Lineage: Bacteria; Bacillati; Bacillota; Bacilli; Caryophanales; Staphylococcaceae
Description: bacterial SSU rRNA
Rfam family: Bacterial small subunit ribosomal RNA
Source: RNAcentral